This 492-nucleotide ribosomal RNA is filed under the name uncultured bacterium. RNAcentral's name for it is "partial 16S ribosomal RNA". It matches the Rfam family "Bacterial small subunit ribosomal RNA", at positions 29 to 507 of the family's 1533-position model. The record is from RNAcentral.
AGUGAACGCUGGCGGUAGGCCUAACACAUGCAAGUCGAACGGCAGCACAGUAAGAGCUUGCUCUUACGGGUGGCGAGUGGCGGACGGGUGAGGAAUACAUCGGAAUCUACUUUUUCGGGGGGGAUAACGUAGGGAAACUUGCGCUAAUACCGCAUACGACCUACGGGUGAAAGCAGGGGAUCUUCGGACCUUGCGCGAUUGAAUGAGCCGAUGUCGGAUUAGCUAGUUGGCGGGGUAAAGGCCCACCAAGGCGACGAUCCGUAGCUGGUCUGAGAGGAUGAUCAGCCACACUGGAACGGAGACACGGUCCAGACUCCUACGGGAGGCAGCAGUGGGGAAUAUUGGACAAUGGGCGCAAGCCUGAUCCAGCCAUACCGCGUGGGUGAAGAAGGCCUUCGGGUUGUAAAGCCCUUUUGUUGGGAAAGAAAAGCAGCAGGUUAAUACCCCGCUGUUCUGACGGUACCCAAAGAAUAAGCACCGGCUAACUUCGUG